RNAcentral lists this ribosomal RNA (1583 nucleotides) under Salmonella enterica subsp. enterica serovar Enteritidis. RNAcentral's name for it is "partial 23S ribosomal RNA". It matches the Rfam family "Bacterial large subunit ribosomal RNA", at positions 1376 to 2925 of the family's 2925-position model. The record is from RNAcentral. Lineage: Bacteria; Pseudomonadati; Pseudomonadota; Gammaproteobacteria; Enterobacterales; Enterobacteriaceae.
AGGGUGAGUCGACCCCUAAGGCGAGGCCGAAAGGCGUAGUCGAUGGGAAACGGGUUAAUAUUCCCGUACUUGGUGUUACUGCGAAGGGGGGACGGAGAAGGCUAUGUUGGCCGGGCGACGGUUGUCCCGGUUUAAGCGUGUAGGUGUGUGUUCCAGGUAAAUCCGGUUCACUUUAACACUGAGGCGUGACGACGAGGCACUACGGUGCUGAAGCAACAAAUGCCCUGCUUCCAGGAAAAGCCUCUAAGCAUCAGGUAACAUCAAAUCGUACCCCAAACCGACACAGGUGGUCAGGUAGAGAAUACCAAGGCGCUUGAGAGAACUCGGGUGAAGGAACUAGGCAAAAUGGUGCCGUAACUUCGGGAGAAGGCACGCUGACACGUAGGUGAAGUGAUUUACUCAUGGAGCUGAAGUCAGUCGAAGAUACCAGCUGGCUGCAACUGUUUAUUAAAAACACAGCACUGUGCAAACACGAAAGUGGACGUAUACGGUGUGACGCCUGCCCGGUGCCGGAAGGUUAAUUGAUGGGGUCAGCGCAAGCGAAGCUCCUGAUCGAAGCCCCGGUAAACGGCGGCCGUAACUAUAACGGUCCUAAGGUAGCGAAAUUCCUUGUCGGGUAAGUUCCGACCUGCACGAAUGGCGUAAUGAUGGCCAGGCUGUCUCCACCCGAGACUCAGUGAAAUUGAACUCGCUGUGAAGAUGCAGUGUACCCGCGGCAAGACGGAAAGACCCCGUGAACCUUUACUAUAGCUUGACACUGAACAUUGAGCCUUGAUGUGUAGGAUAGGUGGGAGGCUUUGAAGUGUGGACGCCAGUCUGCAUGGAGCCGACCUUGAAAUACCACCCUUUAAUGUUUGAUGUUCUAACGUGGACCCGUUACCCGGGUUGCGGACAGUGUCUGGUGGGUAGUUUGACUGGGGCGGUCUCCUCCUAAAGAGUAACGGAGGAGCACGAAGGUUGGCUAAUCCUGGUCGGACAUCAGGAGGUUAGUGCAAUGGCAUAAGCCAGCUUGACUGCGAGCGUGACGGCGCGAGCAGGUGCGAAAGCAGGUCAUAGUGAUCCGGUGGUUCUGAAUGGAAGGGCCAUCGCUCAACGGAUAAAAGGUACUCCGGGGAUAACAGGCUGAUACCGCCCAAGAGUUCAUAUCGACGGCGGUGUUUGGCACCUCGAUGUCGGCUCAUCACAUCCUGGGGCUGAAGUAGGUCCCAAGGGUAUGGCUGUUCGCCAUUUAAAGUGGUACGCGAGCUGGGUUUAGAACGUCGUGAGACAGUUCGGUCCCUAUCUGCCGUGGGCGCUGGAGAACUGAGGGGGGCUGCUCCUAGUACGAGAGGACCGGAGUGGACGCAUCACUGGUGUUCGGGUUGUCAUGCCAAUGGCACUGCCCGGUAGCUAAAUGCGGAAGAGAUAAGUGCUGAAAGCAUCUAAGCACGAAACUUGCCCCGAGAUGAGUUCUCCCUGAGACUUAAAGUCUCCUGAAGGAACGUUGAAGACGACGACGUUGAUAGGCCGGGUGUGUAAGCGCAGCGAUGCGUUGAGCUAACCGGUACUAAUGAACCGUGAGGCUUAACCUUACAACGCCGAAG